This 253-nucleotide ribosomal RNA is filed under the name uncultured bacterium. RNAcentral describes it as "partial 16S ribosomal RNA". It matches the Rfam family "Bacterial small subunit ribosomal RNA", at positions 524 to 776 of the family's 1533-position model. The record is from RNAcentral.
GACAGAGGCCUCGAGCGUUAGGCGGAAUCACUGGGCUUAAAGCGUGUGUAGGCGGAUCGUUAAGUGCCUUGUGAAAUCCCACGGCUUAACUGUGGAACGGCUGGGCAUACUGGCGGUCUUGAGCCAUCUAGGGGAGACUGGAAUUCCUGGUGUAGCGGUGAAAUGCGCAGAUAUCAGGAGGAACACCGGUGGCGAAGGCGGGUCUCUGGUACGUGACUGACGCUGAGACGCGAAAGCGUGGGGAGCAAACAGG